RNAcentral lists this ribosomal RNA (245 nucleotides) under uncultured bacterium. Its description in RNAcentral is "partial 16S ribosomal RNA". It matches the Rfam family "Bacterial small subunit ribosomal RNA", at positions 791 to 1035 of the family's 1533-position model. The record is from RNAcentral.
UAGUCCACGCGGUAAACGAUGAAUGCUAGGUGUAGGAGGUAUCGACCCCUUCUGUGCCGCAGUAAACACAAUAAGCAUUCCGCCUGGGGAGUACGGCCGCAAGGUUGAAACUCAAAGGAAUUGACGGGGGCCCGCACAAGCAGCGGAGCAUGUGGUUUAAUUCGAAGCAACGCGAAGAACCUUACCAGGUCUUGACAUCCGUGUAAAACCCAAGAGAUUGGGAGUGAGCUUGCUCAAUACGAGAC